RNAcentral lists this microRNA precursor (136 nucleotides) under Hordeum vulgare. RNAcentral's name for it is "microRNA MIR1122". It matches the Rfam family "MIR1120/MIR1122 microRNA precursor family". The record is from RNAcentral. Lineage: Eukaryota; Viridiplantae; Streptophyta; Magnoliopsida; Poales; Poaceae.
CUAGUACUCCCUCCGUCUCAAAUUUUUUGUCUUAUAUUUGUUUAGAUAUGAAUGUAUCUAGUCAUAUUUUAGUAUUUAGAUACAUUUAUUUCUAAACAAACCUAAAACAUUAAUUUUGAGACGAAGGAAAUAUUAA